GGGGAUUUAGCACAGUGGUAGAGCGCUUGCCUAGCAAGCACAAGGCCCUGGGUUCGGUCCCCAGCUCCG
Non-coding RNA from Rattus norvegicus (Norway rat), 69 nucleotides. The record is from Rfam. NCBI's taxonomy places the organism in Eukaryota, Metazoa, Chordata, Mammalia, Rodentia, Muridae.